AAUAAGAUCAUUUUUUAGUUUUUCAUACAGUGUUUUGACUUUUCGUCUUAUCUGAAAUUUUUUUAUGAUUAAUAUUUUUAUUCUUACUAGAUGAUAAAACAUGAAUAGUAUUUUAUACGUGACUAAUUUUUUUAAAUUUUUAUAUAAGUUUUUUAAAUAAAAAGAAUGGUCAAACGUUAGACACGAAAAA
RNAcentral lists this microRNA precursor (190 nucleotides) under Oryza brachyantha (malo sina). RNAcentral describes it as "MIR812 microRNA precursor family". It matches the Rfam family "MIR812 microRNA precursor family". Lineage: Eukaryota; Viridiplantae; Streptophyta; Magnoliopsida; Poales; Poaceae. The record is from Rfam by way of RNAcentral.